RNAcentral lists this ribosomal RNA (517 nucleotides) under uncultured archaeon. Its description in RNAcentral is "bacterial SSU rRNA". It matches the Rfam family "Archaeal small subunit ribosomal RNA", at positions 469 to 986 of the family's 1478-position model. The record is from RNAcentral.
GGUAAAACCAGCACCUCAAGUGGUCAGGAUGAUUAUUGGGCCUAAAGCAUCCGUAGCCGGCUCUGUAAGUUUUCGGUUAAAUCUGUACGCUCAACGUACAGGCUGCCGGGAAUACUGCAGAGCUAGGGAGUGGGAGAGGUAGACGGUACUCGGUAGGAAGGGGUAAAAUCCUUUGAUCUAUUGAUGACCACCUGUGGCGAAGGCGGUCUACCAGAACACGUCCGACGGUGAGGGAUGAAAGCUGGGGGAGCAAACCGGAUUAGAUACCCGGGUAGUCCCAGCUGUAAACUAUGCAAACUCAGUGAUGCAUUGACUUGUGGUCAAUGCAGUGCUGCAGGGAAGCCGUUAAGUUUGCCGCCUGGGAAGUACGUACGCAAGUAUGAAACUUAAAGGAAUUGGCGGGGGAGCACCACAAGGGGUGAAGCCUGCGGUUCAAUUGGAGUCAACGCCAGAAAUCUUACCCGGAGAGACAGCAGAAUGAAGGUCAAGCUGAAGACUUUACCAGACAAGCUGAGAG